RNAcentral lists this ribosomal RNA (246 nucleotides) under uncultured bacterium. Its description in RNAcentral is "partial 16S ribosomal RNA". It matches the Rfam family "Bacterial small subunit ribosomal RNA", at positions 791 to 1035 of the family's 1533-position model. The record is from RNAcentral.
UAGUCCACGCCGUAAACGAUGGAUACUAGGUGUGGGAGGUAUCAACUCCUUCCGUGCCGCCGUUAACACAUUAAGUAUCCCGCCUGGGGAGUACGGUCGCAAGAUUAAAACUCAAAGGAAUUGACGGGGGCCCGCACAAGCAGCGGAGCAUGUGGUUUAAUUCGAAGCAACGCGAAGAACCUUACCUAGACUUGACAUCUCCUGCAUUACUCUUAAUCGAGGAAGUCCCUUCGGGGACAGGAUGAC